Molecule: transfer RNA, 71 nt
Filed under: Testudo kleinmanni (Egyptian tortoise)
Lineage: Eukaryota; Metazoa; Chordata; Testudines; Testudinidae
Description: tRNA-Val
Rfam family: tRNA
About the family: Transfer RNA (tRNA) molecules are approximately 80 nucleotides in length. Their secondary structure includes four short double-helical elements and three loops (D, anti-codon, and T loops).
Source: RNAcentral
CAAAAUAUAGCUUAAUCUAUUAAAGCACUCAGCUUACACCUGAAAGACGUCCGUUAAAACGACUAUUUUGA